AGUGAACGCUGGCGGUAGGCCUAACACAUGCAAGUCGAACGGCAGCACCGUAAGAGCUUGCUCUUACGGGUGGCGAGUGGCGGAAGGGUGCGGAAUACAUCGGAAUCUACUUUUUCGUGGGGGCUAACGUAGGGAAACUUACGCUAAUACCGCAUACGACCUACGUGUGACAGCAGGGGAUCUUCGGGCCUUGCGCGGUUGUAUGAGCCGAUGUCGGCUGCGAUAGUUGGCGGGGUAAAGGCCCACCAAGGCGACGCUCCGUAGCGGGUCUGACAGGAUGAUCCGGCACACUGGAUCUGAGACACGGCCCAGACUCCGACGGGAGGCAGCGGUGGGGAAUAUUGGGCAAGGGGGGAGAGGCUGAUCUAGCCAUACCGCGUGAGUGAAGAAGGACCUCGGGUGGGAAAGCCCUGUUGUUGUGAAAGAAAAGCAGCAGUUUAAUACCCCGCUGUUCUGACGGUACCCAGAGAAUAAGCCCCGGCUAACUUCGUG
Molecule: ribosomal RNA, 492 nt
Filed under: uncultured bacterium
Lineage: Bacteria
Description: partial 16S ribosomal RNA
Rfam family: Bacterial small subunit ribosomal RNA
Source: RNAcentral